This 1550-nucleotide ribosomal RNA is filed under the name Salmonella enterica subsp. enterica serovar Chester. RNAcentral describes it as "partial 23S ribosomal RNA". It matches the Rfam family "Bacterial large subunit ribosomal RNA", at positions 1292 to 2824 of the family's 2925-position model. RNAcentral also lists the same sequence under 1 other name. Lineage: Bacteria; Pseudomonadati; Pseudomonadota; Gammaproteobacteria; Enterobacterales; Enterobacteriaceae. The record is from RNAcentral.
GAAUGCUGACAUAAGUAACGAUAAAGCGGGUGAAAAGCCCGCUCGCCGGAAGACCAAGGGUUCCUGUCCAACGUUAAUCGGGGCAGGGUGAGUCGACCCCUAAGGCGAGGCCGAAAGGCGUAGUCGAUGGGAAACGGGUUAAUAUUCCCGUACUUGGUGUUACUGCGAAGGGGGGACGGAGAAGGCUAUGUUGGCCGGGCGACGGUUGUCCCGGUUUAAGCGUGUAGGUGUGUGUUCCAGGUAAAUCCGGUUCACUUUAACACUGAGGCGUGAUGACGAGGCACUACGGUGCUGAAGCAACAAAUGCCCUGCUUCCAGGAAAAGCCUCUAAGCAUCAGGUAACAUCAAAUCGUACCCCAAACCGACACAGGUGGUCAGGUAGAGAAUACCAAGGCGCUUGAGAGAACUCGGGUGAAGGAACUAGGCAAAAUGGUGCCGUAACUUCGGGAGAAGGCACGCUGACACGUAGGUGAAGUGAUUUACUCAUGGAGCUGAAGUCAGUCGAAGAUACCAGCUGGCUGCAACUGUUUAUUAAAAACACAGCACUGUGCAAACACGAAAGUGGACGUAUACGGUGUGACGCCUGCCCGGUGCCGGAAGGUUAAUUGAUGGGGUCAGCGCAAGCGAAGCUCCUGAUCGAAGCCCCGGUAAACGGCGGCCGUAACUAUAACGGUCCUAAGGUAGCGAAAUUCCUUGUCGGGUAAGUUCCGACCUGCACGAAUGGCGUAAUGAUGGCCAGGCUGUCUCCACCCGAGACUCAGUGAAAUUGAACUCGCUGUGAAGAUGCAGUGUACCCGCGGCAAGACGGAAAGACCCCGUGAACCUUUACUAUAGCUUGACACUGAACAUUGAGCCUUGAUGUGUAGGAUAGGUGGGAGGCUUUGAAGUGUGGACGCCAGUCUGCAUGGAGCCGACCUUGAAAUACCACCCUUUAAUGUUUGAUGUUCUAACGUGGACCCGUGAUCCGGGUUGCGGACAGUGUCUGGUGGGUAGUUUGACUGGGGCGGUCUCCUCCUAAAGAGUAACGGAGGAGCACGAAGGUUGGCUAAUCCUGGUCGGACAUCAGGAGGUUAGUGCAAUGGCAUAAGCCAGCUUGACUGCGAGCGUGACGGCGCGAGCAGGUGCGAAAGCAGGUCAUAGUGAUCCGGUGGUUCUGAAUGGAAGGGCCAUCGCUCAACGGAUAAAAGGUACUCCGGGGAUAACAGGCUGAUACCGCCCAAGAGUUCAUAUCGACGGCGGUGUUUGGCACCUCGAUGUCGGCUCAUCACAUCCUGGGGCUGAAGUAGGUCCCAAGGGUAUGGCUGUUCGCCAUUUAAAGUGGUACGCGAGCUGGGUUUAGAACGUCGUGAGACAGUUCGGUCCCUAUCUGCCGUGGGCGCUGGAGAACUGAGGGGGGCUGCUCCUAGUACGAGAGGACCGGAGUGGACGCAUCACUGGUGUUCGGGUUGUCAUGCCAAUGGCACUGCCCGGUAGCUAAAUGCGGAAGAGAUAAGUGCUGAAAGCAUCUAAGCACGAAACUUGCCCCGAGAUGAGUUCUCCCUGAGACUUUA